RNAcentral lists this ribosomal RNA (511 nucleotides) under uncultured Actinomycetes bacterium. RNAcentral describes it as "bacterial SSU rRNA". It matches the Rfam family "Bacterial small subunit ribosomal RNA", at positions 9 to 534 of the family's 1533-position model. Lineage: Bacteria; Bacillati; Actinomycetota; Actinomycetes. The record is from RNAcentral.
GAGUUUGAUUAUGGCUCAGGACGAACGCUGGCGGCGUGCUUAACACAUGCAAGUCGAGCGAUGAAGUUUCUUCGGAAAUGGAUUAGCGGCGAACGGGUGAGGAACACGUGAAGAAUCUGCCCUCCACUUUGGGAUAACACAGGGAAACCUGUGCUAAUACCGAAUAUUGAAACAUAAGUGGCAUCACUGAGUUUUGAAAGAAUUUCGGUGGAGGAUGACUUCGCGGCCUAUCAGCUAGUUGGUGAGGUAAUGGCUCACCAAGGCAACGACGGGUAGCCGGCCUGAGAGGGCGACCGGCCACACUGGGACUGAGACACGGCCCAGACUCCUACGGGAGGCAGCAGUGGGGAAUAUUGGGCAAUGGAGGAAACUCUGACCCAGCGACGCCGCGUGCGGGAUGAAGGCCUUCGGGUUGUAAACCGCUUUCAGUAGGGAAGAAGCGAAAGUGACGGUACCUACAAAAGAAGCACCGGCUAACUAUGUGCCAGCAGCCGCGGUAAUACAUAGGGUG